Molecule: non-coding RNA, 10205 nt
Organism: Podarcis lilfordi (Lilford's wall lizard)
Lineage: Eukaryota; Metazoa; Chordata; Lepidosauria; Squamata; Lacertidae
Source: the annotation of a GenBank genome assembly
CUGAACAGUUCUGGGACUCUAAGACUGGGACGCAGAAGCGAAAGAGACAAUGAAGAGCUUCCUACUGGCGAUUGCGCUCUAUGGAGCACUUUCUUGUGCUUUGCCCCUAAUCCACGAAGCUGAUCAAGUUGGAGAAGCGGACCUGAAUUUUGCCAAGGUAAUGUUUGAUGGUAGCACAGAGGGGAAGCAGAAUUCCACUAGCAGAAAAAGUAGUCAGUCACUAAUUGCCUUGUGCAAAGUGGCAGUCAAUGUAAUGUUGUGCAUGCUUAUAGACUGGGAAUUCUGCAGAUUCCGACCUCUGCUCCUCCAUAGGUGUGCCUAAUGGGUUUGGGUAAAAUAGACCGCAAUCCUACAUGCAACCCUACAUUCAUACAUCUUGGAGUAAGUCCCACUGAACUGAGAAGAUGUGCAUAGGAUUCACUGUUAAUGUCCGUUAGCUUCAGUUCUUAUGUCUGUAAAAUGGGUUCAAUUAGACAAAUGAGCUUCCUCAUUGGGGGAAAAGUUAGAAAGAUCAAAAUUCUACAAUGUGAAAGAUUAUAUGUGAAAAUAAUUCUGCAACAAUCAAAUGCAUCUGUUCUUUCCAUCAGAUGUACAUAGAAAACUACUAUCCUGAUUCCACAUCAACGCCAGUCGCAAGAAGCAAAAGGAGUGAUGAGAUUCCUGUUGACAAGUUACAACAAAUGCAGAAACACUUUGGGCUGAGAGUGACGGGCAGAUUGGACUCACACACUUUGGCUGCAAUGAAGAAUCCCAGGUGUGGGGUUCCUGAUGUAGCAGAAUACAGCACCUUUCCUUUGUCACCAAAAUGGGGACGAAAAAACCUGACAUAUAGGUAAAGUUUCAAAACACUUGCCUGAAUCAAAGAUGUAACUUGAUAAUGCUUAUUAUUGGCUCCUGGCUGAGGAAGAAAACUUCUGUCUGGGGAGAAAAUUGAAUGGAUGAUCUUAAAGAGGGUAUGUCUGGCCGGCUGUCUGGAAGCCUGAUCAGGAACACACCAGACUGCAGAUUUUUGGGUAGUACAGAUCCCACUUGCAAGCUACUGUUUUCAACUUGUAUUCAUAGGAAUGCUGGGAUUCCUUUGUCAGAUAAGUAAUGGUCUUUCCUAAAAGUUGGCUGUUGUUGUUGUUGUUGUUUAGUUGUUUAGUCGUGUCCGACUCUUUGUGACCCCAUGGACCAGAGCACGCCAGGCACUUCUGUCUUCCACUGUCUCCCACAGUUUGGUCAGACUCAUGUUUGUAGCUUCGAGAACACUGUCCAACCAUCUCGUCCUCUGUCGUCCCCUUCUCCUUGUGCCCUCCAUCUUUCCCAACAUCAGGGUCUUUUCCAGGGAGUCUUCUCUUCUCAUGAGGUGGCCAAAGUAUUGGAGCCUCAACUUCACGAUUUGUCCUUCCAGUGAGCACUCAGGGCUAAUUUUCUUAAGAAUGGAUGCAUUUGAUCUUCUUGCAGUCCAUGGGACUCUCAAUAGUCUCCUCCAGCACCAUAAUUCAAAAGCAUCAAUUCUUCGGCGAUCAGCCUUCUUUAUGGUCCAGCUCUCACUUCCAUAACUCACUACUGGGAAAACCAUGGCUUUAACUAUACGGACCUUUGUUGGCAAGGUGAUGUCUCUACUUUUUAAGAUGUUGUCUAGGUAUGCCAUCGCCUUUCUCCCAAGGAGCAGGCGUCUUUUAAUUUCGUGACUGCUGACACCAUCUGCCGUGAUCAUGGAGCCCAAGAAAGUAAAAUCUCUCACUGCCUCCAUUUCUUCCCCUUCUAUUUGCCAGGAGGUGAUGGGCCCAGUGGCCAUGAUCUUCGUUUUUUUGAUGUUGAGCUUCAGACCAGUCUACCAUUAUUGAUUUUCCUGUGCAACACAGAGCUUAAUUCUAGUCAUCGUUGCAUAAUUUUAACACACUUAGAAAUACAAGGGGCAGGGAUGUGGAGAUACUCUGAGACAUAAAAUGAUGUCUCCUCUUGCACACACACUUUGAAAGCUCUGUGAACAUUCUUUCAAAUGUGCGUUUCAUCUUCUACCGUGUGUUUCACAGCGUUCUGAAUUACACGCCAGACAUGGACCGCGCUGACGUAGAUGUUGCCAUCGAGAGAGCUUGGAAAGUUUGGAGUGAUGUGACUCCCCUGACCUUCACCAGGGUUUAUGGGAAACCUGCAGAUAUCAAGAUCUCUUUCGCUGCUAGGGGUAAGUAAAUCACACGCAAGGAAUUAUAGUAGGUUUACCCAAGUUCCUGGCUGGGUGAUUUAUAUAUAUGUUCUUUGAUUUUUUUAAAGCUCAUGGUGACGAUAUCCCAUUCGAUGGACCAGGUGGGCAGUUGGCUCAUACAUUUUCACCUGCCUUCGGUGGAAGCGUCCAUUUUGAUGAGAAUGAACCCUGGGCACGGGAUUUAAAAGGUAUUUUCAUUGUUUCGUCUCAAUAUAUUCUAUUCACUUGCUUGUGACAGCUGUCAAGGAAGCUUAAUUACUUUUGCUGGCAAACAUUGAGACCCCAGCACCAUUCAUGUCCCACGGGACUUACUCUGGAGUUUUAAAAUAGUGUUAUUGUUAUUAAGAAUGACAUGAAAAAAUACAAACAACAAAUAACAAGUGUUGGUCACCAGGUACAAAGCAAAAUAUCGUCAUGAUGUGUAUAAGGCAGAAAAUAAUAGCAGCAUGUUUAGUAAAACAACCAAGCCAAAAAUAUGCAUGAGGUACAGGGGGUCUAGGUUCCUCCCGCUGACAGUUAAUAAAAGAAAUAAAUAUAAACUAAUCCACCUAAAAUAUAUAUAUAUAUUUAAUUUCUCCAUGCAUUGCUCUACAGCGUUGCUAAAGUUUAUCUGGCACACAAAGCAAGUCUUUUUCAUACAGCUCAGCUAUAGAAUUUGCUGCCACAAGAUGCCACAAUGGCCAUCAGUGUGGCUGGCAAAUUCAUGGGUGUUAGAUGAUUGGUGGCUACUAAUCUUCAUGACUAUGUUGCAUCCCAACUUCAUGGCUCUAAUAGCAGUUGCUGGGAAUCACAAGUGCCAAAGGCACCGUUGCUCUUGAGUCAUACUCGGGGCUUCUGAGAGACAUCUGGAGGCUGAUCUAUUAGGGCAACUGGAGGGCUGCCUCUUCCAGGGCCAACAUGCCUUUCCUUUGACUUACAACCAGGCCAGUGGGCGCCCCUGCUUUUCAGCUUCCUGUUCCUUAAUCUCAGUGCCCUUGCAGAACUCAGCAGGGAGGUGGAUGGGGACAACCCUAGAAUUAGUUGGCUCUGCCUGCCAUUGGCCCUAGAUCCUUCGACUCUUGGCCUUUCUGCCUUCCAACCCACCACUGGGAGCAUAGGAUGUGGGUCUUCGGUCCUUAUCCAAUAGGACACUUCUUGUGUUCAUGACAUUCAUUUAUUACACUCCACUUGCAUAUCAUAUUGCUCUCUGUCACAUUACUGGUCUAUUUGAUUGGGGUUCUUGUAUUUGCAUUCCUUCUAUGAGCUGCUUGGAGCACUGCUUGGUGGGAUACAAACCUAACAAACAAAUAAUCAGGACUUGCAUUGAAAGCAGUCGUUGCUAUAAUGAAAUCAGUGAUAAUGAUCCCUUCUGACUGCAAAGAAUAGGAAUGUGGCUGAUGAAAUUUAAUUAUGAAAAGCACCAUUUUUGUCAACGUAACCCCCCCCCCAAAAAAAACCCACAACGUUCAUUGGUACAUCCUAUGGACUGUUCUGUACAUCCAUAAAUGGUAUUAGUAAACUCACUCGGGUUAUUCAUAAGAUUAGACUACAUUUCCUUGUUUCUGGCAAAAGGGCAAGUGUGCUCUUUUUUUAGCAUGUAGUUGAAAUGGUUUGACAUAGAAGGUUCCAUGUGGAAUCUCCAGGAAGGGAUUGCAAAGACCCAUCUGAAAUCCCAAAGAGUUGCUGUCCAUCUUCUUCUUCUUCUUCUUCUUCUUUUGCGAUCACUCAUAGCUGAGUAAGAUUGUCUUCCAUAAACACGGUUUUAACAAUGAGUCUGUAAGUGACUGUGGAGGCCAAUUCUGGAUCCACACGUCCUUCCACAGUGGGGACAUUGGUUUCUGGGUGGGAGUUGAUCAUGGUGUGGAUUUGUCAAGCAUGCCUUCCUCCUAGCACAUUUCUCCCUUGCGUCCUGAGUUCGGGUGUCUUCAAAGCCCAUGGCACCUUUGGUAAAGGCUGUUCUCCAACUGGACCACUCGCAGGCCAGUGUUUCCCAGUUGUCAGUGUUUAUACUACAUUUUUAAAGAUUUGCUAAACCCAUUCCUGUUUCCUUUAUAGGCACCAACCUUUUUCUUGUAGCUGCUCAUGAGUUUGGCCAUGUACUGGGCCUCAGGCAUUCCAGCAAUCCAGAGGCUCUGAUGUUUCCAACCUACAGAAAUAGAGACCUUAAAAAUUUUGGUCUUCACACGGAUGACAUUGAGGGCAUCCAGCACCUUUAUGGUAAGUACAGACUCCCAGAUGAUUAUAUGGAAUGAGGCCAUGUAAGAGCACUGGCUUGGAUCCUAAGGUCAGUUAGCUGAAGAAUGUUCACAGAAAAGACUCAAAUAGAUUCUCUGAAGGGUUUGGGUCGACCUUCAGAACAAGGUAGGAGGGAGUAACAGGAAACUUCAUUUCCAUGAACUCCCUAGAGUAGUCUUAGAUUCUGAGGGGAAUUCCAGCCCUCCCUGCAGGAACGCCCCCCAUGCCCCAUCUAUUUUGGAUGCCCCCUCAACCCUCCAGAGAGAUUUUUCAGGGGGUACCAUGGCUGUGGAAUGGGUGGGUGAGAAAAACAACUGAAAAUCUUUCUGUGAACUUUCUUAUUUGGGGAGCAAAUGAUCGUCCAGACCACCUGAUGUGAAUUCACAGAGCCAAUCUAUUAUUCCAUCUAUUGUUGUAUUUCACUGUCUUCCAAUAAAUUAUUACUCAUUUUUAUUAUUACUAUUUAUUACCUGGCCUUCACCCUAAAAUCCCAGAAUGGGUUUCAACAAUUAAUACACAACAUCAAUAGUAAAACACAAUAUUACAUGAUACUUUUUUAAAAAAAGUUUAAAGCAAAUUAAAAUGAAGUCUCCUGCAAUGCCUCUGAACUGCAUAUUCCAAAUCCUGCUUGUUCUUCAGUUCUUCUCUUUACCUCUUUUUCAAGGACCCCCUGAAGGUGGUGAUGACAAUGAAGCCAGUGGUUCAUCAAUUAACCUCACAUCCACAACAGAGGCACCAUCCACAAAAUGGUGUGACCCUCGCCUGGCUUUUGAUGCUGUUACCUCUUUCCGAGGGGAAAUCCUGUUCUUUAAAGACAGGUAAAUAAUAUCUAAACACUGAACUUUUUACCUUCUAACUCAAAGUCAUGCCCCUCCUCCAAGAACAUUUCUACUCAAAGAGUACUCUGCAAACACAAUGAAUCAGCAAUGACUUUUCCCUUAUGAUGCAAAUAACCAUCCAUACUAUGCUCAACAUACUGCUCAUUAAAUUCAUUCAACAUGCCCUCCUUGGUGCGUAAGGUAAGAACAAUUGCAAAUAGUACUAGUCAGUAUUGACUAGGCACCCUGUAGUUUUUUGUGGUGGUUCUGGAGAUGGCUUUGUCUAGGGUGGCUCCCAGGUUAUUGAAUGCUCUCCUUUCCAUGGUGCAUUUGACUCCAUUUUUGGCUCUCUUUCUUUUUUUUUUUUUUAUAAUUGAUAUUUAUUAAGUUUUCAAAGAAUAACAACAAAAAUUUCCAAAAAAAAAUUGAGGAUACAAAAAACAAAAAUAGUACAUAAACAAAAAAGAAAAGAAAACCCAGCCGCAAAGAAAAAAAAAGAGAAACAGAAAAACAAAAAUAUAAAGUCCUUUACAAUCUCUAUUGACUUCCUUUCUAGACUUCCUCCUCCUCCCUCUUUUGUUUCUUAAUUUUUAAUUUUUACAGCAAAUCCUUUCUGUUUUUUCAUAACAAUCUGUCAUUACGUUUCCUUAUUCUAUUUUCCCUCUUGUCAUAUAAAAACUUUAAGACUCAUAGCUUAUAUUCAAUAUUUACCAAAUUCUUGCAUCAUUACCUUUUACGAAUCAUUUACCAAUCCUUACUUAAGCCAUGUAAUUUCAUUCAACAUCCUUCAAACAUUUGUAAGCAUUCCCAAUAUUAAAAAAUAAAAAGAAAAAAAUAAUAAGUCAAAUUCAGUCCAGUCAGCUUCCAACCUCCCCUCCCCUGGACCCGGGAUUGUCAGUCCUUUUAACCUCGAUAAUCCGGCUCCUUAACCUGGUUGUCUCGUAUCCGAGGCCCUCAAGUCUCUUUCUUGCCCCUUUCGCCACUCUUGUUGAUGAUUCCUUUCCAGUCGUGGAUGCUCCAGCAAGAAAAUGCUUUUGACCCUUUGCAGCAAGUCCAUCCCAAACCCAUUGCCCAAGCCAGACAGCAAAUAAUACCACUUCAAAUUUCCACAAAGCUUGGAGACUUCGGCUACUCCAAUCCUCUGAUAGCCCAUCACCAGACUCGGAAGGUCCAAAUAACCAUAUGGAGGGGGUCGAUCCAUCCCCCAUUUCCAAAUCUGACCACAUUUCAUCUUUCCGAAUCUGGUUUGUCCCAAGUUCAUUUAUCAAGUUCAAAGGCUGAUCUUGCCCGUCCAAAGGUCCCUCCAUCUCUGAAGCCUCCGUCACUACAGCAGGUUCAUAUGCUUGUAUAGCCUUUAACUGAAUUUCAUUUGUUUGCUGCUGUGCUCUGGUAACUUCCAUCAUCAAGGUCGUCUCCUGACGCAUCUGGUCCAGCUGGGCACUUAGUUUUGAAAAACCUUCCAGGAACAAUUGUUCAAGCCUUUGUACUAGCAUUGUCCUUCAAGGUCAAAGAAAAUUCUUUCCCACGACAAUAGUCCAAUAGUCCUUCUCUUUUAAUCUCUCUGCGUUGCAAUUUCACUAAAUUCCACUAGAUGGAAAUUUUUUUUUUUUUAAAGGAAUAAAAGCAACAGCAACAAUCUUUCUUUUUCCAGAAACACUUUAUCCAAAAUUCCCCUUCCAAAUUCAAGAGGCAACAGUAGAAUCAAAAUGUUACCCUUCUUUUAACUAACUGUCGAGCUGGAUAAACUUCAGAACGUCAAUUCUGACAGCCCGCUCCUGGUUCAGGGCGGUGGAAAAUUGCUUUAUUUUAAACUCACUUCCGCAGGAUUGAAAAGUCCAAAUACAACCCCUUCUUCUCCUGCAGUCAAAGGGGGUUCAGAAAUCUUAGAUGUUGAAUUCUAGUUCUCUUAGAAUUUAAUUUUCAAGCUUUAGUAUAUUUUGUCUUUGCUUUCUUCACAUAACAAAAGAACGGAAGGCGACUUCCUGUUUAGACCUUCCCAUUCCGAGUCCCAAUUAAGUUCAAUUUCAAGUCCAAUAUUAUUUGUUUAUUCACCAGUCUUAAAAGUGGUUCAACUCUUCCAAGAUCAGGUACUCACGGAUAGAUAUUUUAGAUGCCAAAUUGUCCAGGAAAAAGGCAGCGCUCUCCGAUAACGGCAGUGCGGCUUUGCUGCACGGAGGAAGCAGUCGACUCACAGCACCACGCACCUCCCACUCCGGAGCCCGUUACCGGGCUCCUGUACAAGGGAGAGAGCGCUCUCGGUGCCCGCCGAGUCCCACGUCCACAGGCUUCUUCCGCCUGUGGUUUUUGCGGGUCCCCGCUGCGCCGUAGCGGCAGGACCCAAGCCUCCGUGCAGCGGGUUCCCUUCAGUCCGAAGGGAAUUCCGCCAUUUUCCGGAGGCGCCACCCCGGAAGUCUUGGCUCUCUUUCUAUAGCGCGUCAAGAUGUAUCCUUUUUUACCGAGGUCUUUGAGGCUGGAAGAUGAUCUCUAGAUGCUCCCUCUUCUUUUGCUGGUCUUUCUUUUUUUCUAUUUAAAAUAGUUUUAAUGGCUGUCUUAGUCAUAAUAAGCAUUGUAUGGCUUCUUGUGGGUAACCUUCCCUGGGACUGUUAAAAAUAUGUAUAAUAAAUAAAUAGGCCCACAGGUAGGACUUAAACCUUAUACACAAAACAUUACCAAGAAAGAAUUUUGAUACAGUGAAAAUAAGGAAACAGAGGGAAUUGUCUUGUACUGAUUCCAGCCAUUGGUCCACAUAGCUCAGUAUUGUCUACAUUGACCAGCAACUACUCUCCUGGGUUUUAUACUCAGGGAGGGUCUUUUCAAGCCCCACUUGCAUGCAAAGCUGAUGAUCUACCAUGAAGCCACAGCCCUUCUUCUGUAAACAUUCAUAUUGUCUCCCCCAGCUUUUUCUGGAGAAAGAAUCCCCAGAGAAGAGAUGUUGAAAAGGUUCCUAUCUCUGCUUUCUGGCCAGCUUUGAGCAAAGGCAUAGAUGCUGCGUAUGAAGUUAAGGCUGAUGACACAGUAUUUCUAUUCAAAGGUAAAUAUUCCAAACGUGAAUAAACAGCAAGUAAAGGAGCUAAGAAUGAUGGAAGGAGCAUCGUGCUAUUAAGGAGAACGACCUGUGCAAGAGGCUGGAGUUACAGAAUGUUAAUGACCAAAUCCUAGCUGUUCAAUAAGUUACACAGUAUAGCUACAAAGACUUUAUUAUUAUUAUUGGUGGUGGUGGUGUAAAAUUGAGAAAUGAAGCUACGGGGGGGGGGGUGAAACUGGACAGAUUCUCUCAUCUCUAUCCAAGCAGAUUUUUUAUUUUCUUUAUCUAUUUUUUCUUCCAUCAUAGAACUCAAGGUUCUUUAAAUAAGGUUGUCAGGUAGUUCCCCAUCAAGGCACUGACCAGUCCUCAACUUGCUUAGCAGCAGCAAAGGAAUCACAUCACGUGCCCUCAAUGUGCAGGAUAUUGCUUCCAAAUCCCCAUUGCCCUGAGCAGAAGGAAUAAGAUGGAUUAGGAAUGGCCCUGCCUAAUAAUAAUAAUAAUAAUAAUAAUAAUAAUAAUUUAUUAUUUAUACCCCGCCCAUCUGGCUGAGUUUCCCCAGCCACUCUCUGCAAUUGUCUCUGCAGGGCCUGGGCUUUCUCAUUCAGGUCUGUCCCAUCUUCAUGAAAGGCUCUUUCAAUCUCCGCCCCCUCCUUUUUUCCUUUUUACUGUCUUUUGCUUAACAGGAAGCAAGUAUUGGGCCACCAAAGGAAAUACAAUACAGAUUGGUUUCCCCAAGAAUAUUCACAGCCUGGGCCUCCCGAAAAGUGUUAAGAGCAUUGAUGCAGCUGCUCAUGACAGCAACUUAAAGAAGACAUAUUUCUUCUCUGGAAACCGCUACUGGAAGUAAGGGGAACUUACCUAUCUCAUGUGGGGCAAUUCUGAACGUUCAUUGAAAAGCUCUUUAAAUCAAUGCAUUCUCAACCCAUUCAUUUCUCUAGAUAUGAUGAAGCCAAGAAGUCCAUGGAAAAAGGCUACCCAAGAAAGAUAGCAGCCGACUUCCAGAAAAUUAGCUCCAAGGUGAAAGCUGCUUUUCUGCAUCAUGGUAGGUGGAUAACCGUCUUCAUUAAACAACCUCCCUAAUCCAGUAGGACCAUAUAUAGUUGUAAUGGUGAGACAGAAGGACUUGACCACAGAUGUGAAUGUGGCAGGUUCCUCAGCCACCUGAGCAUCUCAGGACUGCUACCAUAGCCAUGGUCCAUGCCAGGAUCAAAACUGCAGAAGAUGGAACAAACCUUAACCCCCUGCCAUAGCUCUGUUCAGAGAACAUAUAGAUUUGCAGAAGCAGAAAGGAAAAUGUGAGGGAGGGGGUGUAGAACAGACCAAUGAGGACUGGACAUGCUCAGUGGCUUACUUCAGCAGUUGAGGAAUAGGAUAUCUGGUGUGGGUGGGUGUGGAAUGAACCAUUGUGGGGGAGCAGGGGUGCUUGAUUUAAUGGAACGGUGACUAAGAGCAUUCCACACUGAGGUAUUUUGUAGGUUUUUGAGUUUCCUUCAUGCAUUUGAUUCACAAUUUUUACUCUUACUCCCUAUUCUUUUUAGGACAUUUCUAUCUAUUCAGUGGAUCAAAUCAAUAUGAGUUUGACAGCAAAACCAAAAAAUUCCUCAGCAUCAAGAAGAGUGACAGCUGGUUUGGGUGCCAGUGACACAAGACAAAGGAAAAAGUGAUGAGGCCCAGAGGAAGGGAAUCUCUCUUGGUCUGGGCAUCAGGCAACGCUCACUGGGCACCAUCUUUGUUGGCAUGACUUGGUCUCUCCUGUGGUUUCAUGAGUCAUGGAACAAGCUGCAUUUUGAAUAAGGAAGUUCUAGUAUAUAUUUGUUUUUAACCUAUGGUAGAUUGCAACUAUUCAAUGAUUCUAUGAUUCUAUUUUUAUAUUUUAAAUUAUUUUAAAUAUAAUUUUCAACUCUGCCUUUAUUUACAGUCUUAACAUUUGCUAUACUUUUUUGUAAACUACUUGAGG